GUCCUUAGUUACCAGCACGUUAUGGUGGGCACUCUAAGGAGACUGCCGGUGACAAACCGGAGGAAGGUGGGGAUGACGUCAAGUCAUCAUGGCCCUUACGGCCUGGGCUACACACGUGCUACAAUGGUCGGUACAAAGGGUUGCCAAGCCGCGAGGUGGAGCUAAUCCCAUAAAACCGAUCGUAGUCCGGAUCGCAGUCUGCAACUCGACUGCGUGAAGUCGGAGUCGCUAGUAAUCGUGAAUCAGAAUGUCACGGUGAAUACGUUCCCGGGCCUU
Molecule: ribosomal RNA, 276 nt
Filed under: uncultured Pseudomonas sp.
Lineage: Bacteria; Pseudomonadati; Pseudomonadota; Gammaproteobacteria; Pseudomonadales; Pseudomonadaceae
Description: partial 16S ribosomal RNA
Rfam family: Bacterial small subunit ribosomal RNA
Source: RNAcentral